UGCGUAGGCGGCUUAUUAAGUCGGAUGUGAAAUCCCCGAGCUUAACUUGGGAAUUGCAUUCGAUACUGGUGAGCUAGAGUAUGGGAGAGGAUGGUAGAAUUCCAGGUGUAGCGGUGAAAUGCGUAGAGAUCUGGAGGAAUACCGAUGGCGAAGGCAGCCAUCUGGCCUAAUACUGACGCUGAGGUACGAAAGCAUGGGGAGCAAACA
RNAcentral lists this ribosomal RNA (207 nucleotides) under uncultured bacterium. Its description in RNAcentral is "partial 16S ribosomal RNA". It matches the Rfam family "Bacterial small subunit ribosomal RNA", at positions 568 to 774 of the family's 1533-position model. The record is from RNAcentral.